RNAcentral lists this small RNA (148 nucleotides) under Callithrix jacchus (white-tufted-ear marmoset). Its description in RNAcentral is "Metazoan signal recognition particle RNA (ENSCJAG00000071593.1)". It matches the Rfam family "Metazoan signal recognition particle RNA". Rfam says of the family: The signal recognition particle (SRP) is a universally conserved ribonucleoprotein. It is involved in the co-translational targeting of proteins to membranes. The eukaryotic SRP consists of a 300-nucleotide 7S RNA and six proteins: SRPs 72, 68, 54, 19, 14, and 9. The record is from Rfam by way of RNAcentral. Lineage: Eukaryota; Metazoa; Chordata; Mammalia; Primates; Cebidae.
GCCAGGUGUGGUGGUGCACACCUGUAAUCCCAGCUACUCAGGAGGCUGAGGCAGUAGAAUUGCUUGAACCCAGGAGGCAGAGGUUGCGGUGAGCCAAGAUCACGCCACUGCACUCCAGCCUGGGUGACAGAGCAAGAUUCUGUCUCAA